UACGUAGGUGGCAAGCGUUGUCCGGAUUUACUGGGCGUAAAGGGCGUGCAGGCGGUUUGUUAAGUUCAGGGUGAAAGCUCCCGGCUCAACUGGGAGAGGUCCUUGGAUACUGGCAGACUUGAGGAGGGUAGGGGAGAGUGGAAUUCCCGGUGUAGUGGUGAUAUGCGUAGAUAUCGGGAGGAACACCAGUGGCGAAGGCGGCUCUCUGGGCCCUACCUGACGCUGAGACGCGAAAGCGUGGGGAGCGAACCGG
RNAcentral lists this ribosomal RNA (253 nucleotides) under uncultured bacterium. Its description in RNAcentral is "partial 16S ribosomal RNA". It matches the Rfam family "Bacterial small subunit ribosomal RNA", at positions 524 to 776 of the family's 1533-position model. The record is from RNAcentral.